This 497-nucleotide ribosomal RNA is filed under the name uncultured bacterium. Its description in RNAcentral is "partial 16S ribosomal RNA". It matches the Rfam family "Bacterial small subunit ribosomal RNA", at positions 28 to 507 of the family's 1533-position model. The record is from RNAcentral.
GAUGAACGAUGGCGGCGUGCCUAAUACAUGCAAGUCGAGCGAACGGACGAGAAGCGUUCUUCUCUGAUGUUAGCGGCGGGCGGGUGAGUAACACGUGGAUAACCUACUUAUAAUACUGGGGUAACUUCGGGAAACCGGAGCUGAUACCGGAUCAUAUUUUCAACCGGAUGGAUCAAAAGUUAAAGACGCUCUUGCUGUCACUUAUAGAUGGAUCCGCGCUGCAUUAGCUAGUUGGUAAGGUAACGGCUUACCAAGGCAACGAUGCAUAGCCGACCUGAGAGGGUGAUCGGCCACACUGGAACUGAGACACGGUCCAGACUCCUACGGGAGGCAGCAGUAGGGAAUCUUCCGCAAUGGGCGAAAGCCUGACGGAGCAACGCCGCGUGAGUGAUGAAGGUCUUCGGAUCGUAAAACUCUGUUAUUAGGGAAGAACAUAUGUGUAAGUAACUGUGCACAUCUUGACGGUACCUAAUCAGAAAGCCACGGCUAACUACGUG